AUUUUUGGAUAAUCGCAUGAGAGAGUCAGUCUUUCAUGAGGAAAGUCCAUGCUAGCACCGGCUGUGAUGUCGGUAGUGUUUGUGCUGGGUGAAAAAAUAAGCCCAGGGACGUGUUAAAACACGUUACGGCGGAUGAAACGGCUAAGUCCUUUUAUUGAAGGAUAGGCGGGAUUAAUCCUGAAAGUGCCACAGUGACGAAGCUUUUAUGGAAACAUAGGAGGUGGAACGCGGUAAACCCCUCAAGCUAGCAACCCAAACUUUGGUAGGGGCACGGGGCAGGCGGAAAGCGAACGCACUGUCCUGACUGGAAACAGUAGACAGAUGAUUAUCGAAGGAAGCAGGAGCCUAGCUGUUUCCGGAACAAAACAUGGCUUAUAGAA
This 380-nucleotide RNase P RNA is filed under the name Streptococcus pantholopis. RNAcentral describes it as "Bacterial RNase P class B". It matches the Rfam family "Bacterial RNase P class B". Rfam says of the family: Ribonuclease P (RNase P) is a ubiquitous endoribonuclease, found in archaea, bacteria and eukarya as well as chloroplasts and mitochondria. Its best characterised activity is the generation of mature 5'-ends of tRNAs by cleaving the 5'-leader elements of precursor-tRNAs. Cellular RNase Ps are ribonucleoproteins. The record is from Rfam by way of RNAcentral. Lineage: Bacteria; Bacillati; Bacillota; Bacilli; Lactobacillales; Streptococcaceae.